CCCUUAGAUGUUCUGGGCCGCACGCGCGCUACACUGAUGCAUGCAACGAGUUCUAUCCUUGGCCGGAAGGCCUGGGUAAUCUGUGAACGUGCAUCGUGAUAGGGAUAGAUUAUUGCAAUUAUUAAUCUUGAACGAGGAAUUCCUAGUAAACGCAAGUCAUCAGCUUGCAUUGAUUACGUCCCUGCCCUUUGUACACACCGCCCGUCGCACCUACCGAUCGAAGGUAAUGAUGAGCCCUCAGGAUUGUGGCCUCGUCGCGUCAGCGUCUUGGCUGCGAGAAUCUGUGCAAAUCCCUACCUUUAGAGGAAGGUGAAGUCGCAACA
RNAcentral lists this ribosomal RNA (323 nucleotides) under uncultured eukaryote. Its description in RNAcentral is "partial 18S ribosomal RNA". It matches the Rfam family "Eukaryotic small subunit ribosomal RNA", at positions 1470 to 1796 of the family's 1831-position model. The record is from RNAcentral.